Molecule: small RNA, 1907 nt
Filed under: Pongo abelii (Sumatran orangutan)
Lineage: Eukaryota; Metazoa; Chordata; Mammalia; Primates; Hominidae
Description: retained intron
Source: RNAcentral
AGGAAGCCCUCCCGACGCCCCGGGUGAGCCAGUCGUUUCCGAGUUCUCCGGCCCCUGAUGGGGACGUCCGCGCCCCCCUUCUCAGGCCGGAGGUGCAGAGAUAUACCUCCCCGUCCUAGGGCUCAGCCAGCACUGCUAGGUACACAGAAGGUGUCCAGCGAGUGUAGCUCAGGGCAUCCUGCGGGCGUGCUUGUCCGCCGCGCCCAGGCUGGGCACUUUCACGCACCUGGUUCCAUCUGCACAGGGUUGUGCUACCAGCCAAGGACUGGCUGCCAGGACCUCCUGGGGGCACCGCAGUGUGGGCCACCAGCUCGGAAGCAGAGGUCCCACCAGAUCUAGCGCUCAAUAAGGAGCAGCAGUUGCAGAUCUCCAAGGAGCUGGUCGACAUUCAGAUCACAACCCACCACCUACAGGAGCAGCACGAGGCUGAAAUCUUCCAGCUGAAGAGUGAGAUCCUUUGGCUGGAGAGCCGAGUGCUGGAGCUGGAGCUGCAUGGAGAUCCCACCAGCCAGGGCUGUGCAGUCCCAGUGGAGUCUGACCCCAGGCACCCCCGGGCACCAGCCCAAGAGCUCAGACACAAAGCCCGGGUGCAGCCCAAGAACGCCGUGAACCCCGAGAACGAGCAGCACAGCCUGGGGAGCGGCCUGCUGGGGGGCCAGGAGCAGCUGCAGGGAGAAGUGAAGUGGGCGCUGGAGCGUCAAGAGGCCCGGCAGCAGGCACUGGAGAUGCGUGUGGCAGCCCUGGGCCGGCAGCUGCAGGGAGCCCGAGAGGAGGCCAGGGCAGCCGGGCAGCGACUAGCCACACAGGCUGUGGUGCUGUGCAGCUGCCGAGGCCAGCUCCAUCAGGCAGAGGCCGAGAACGCCCGGCUGCAGCUGCAGCUCAAGAAACUGAAGGACGAGUAUGUCCUGCGGCUGCAGCACUGCGCCCGGGAGGCAGUGGUGAGCCCUGCAGGAGCACCCUGAGGCCUAGGGAGCCCAAACUUGGCCUGGGUGUGCUGGAUAGCUUCAGGGAGACCCCAGGGCUCUGGCACUGCUCAGCCUGCUGGUGUGGGGGGAUGGUUAGAAAAGAUGGGGGGUGGGUCCCAUGCGGACCCAGCCCGCCACCUCCAGGAGCACGCAGAUGGUACAGGCCAAGCGCCAGCUACCACGGCCCUCCGGACAUUCCUGGAGGCGACUCUGGAGGACAUCCGGGCAGCGCACCGCAGCCGUGAGCAGCAACUGGCCCGGGCUGCCCGCACCUACCACAAGAGGCUGGUGGAUCUCAGCCGCAGGCAUGAGGAGUUGCUGGUUGCCUACAGGGCACCUGGGAACCCCCAAGCUAUUUUUGACGCAGCCAGCUUGGACCUGGAACCAUUGCCCGUGCCCCUGGUCACUGACUUCAGCCAUCGGGAGGACCAGCAUGGGGCACUGCUCUCAUCCCCAAAGAAGGGACCCGGUGGAGCCUCCCAGGGAGGAACGUCAGAGCCACAGGGCCUGGACGCUGCAUCCUGGGCCCAGAUCCACCAGAAGCUCCGGGACUUCUUCCGCAGCACCCAGGUAGGAGGCAAGGGCUGGCCCAGGCCCCUCCUCACACCAUGCCCCAGCUCAUGGCUUACACCCCCAUGCCAGGCAGAGCUGGAACGGGAGCGGGCACAGCUGCUGGUCCGGGCCACGAUGGCUGAAGAGCAACUUUCUGAGCUACAGGAGUACGUGGACCAGCACCUGGGCAGGUACAAACACGAAAUCCUGAGGCUGAGGAAGCUGGCAGGUGCAGGGGACCCCUGGAAAGUGGGGGCUGUGCCUCCAGCCAAGCCCCAGCAUCCAAGGACCGGCAGCCACUAGGCCGUCUCCCAAGGAGCAGAGCAGAGCCCGUCACAGCCAGCACGGAGCCCUCCCACCCAGCCCCCCAUGAAACAUGAGUCAGGAUAC